RNAcentral lists this ribosomal RNA (458 nucleotides) under Validiblatta fuliginosa (smokybrown cockroach). RNAcentral's name for it is "Periplaneta fuliginosa (smokybrown cockroach) partial large subunit ribosomal RNA". It matches the Rfam family "Eukaryotic large subunit ribosomal RNA", at positions 716 to 1138 of the family's 3401-position model. The record is from RNAcentral. Lineage: Eukaryota; Metazoa; Arthropoda; Insecta; Blattodea; Blattidae.
AAGUGAAAGCGGGGCGCACCCUUCGCGGUCGCCCGGGGAGGACGGCGUCGGGCAAACCGGCGCCCGCACUCCCGGGGCGCCUCGGCCUCCGGCCGCAGGCGCACCCGGAGCGUACACGUUGGGACCCGAAAGAUGGUGAACUAUGCCUGGUCAGGACGAAGUCAGGGGAAACCCUGAUGGAGGUCCGCAGCGAUUCUGACGUGCAAAUCGAUCGUCAGAGCUGGGUAUAGGGGCGAAAGACUAAUCGAACCAUCUAGUAGCUGGUUCCCUCCGAAGUUUCCCUCAGGAUAGCUGGCGUCCAUUUCGACCGGGACGAGUCUCAUCCGGUAAAGCGAAUGAUUAGAGGCCUUGGGGCCGAAACGACCUCAACCUAUUCUCAAACUUUAAAUGGGUGAGAUCUCCGGCUUGCUUGACUGAAGCCGCGAGGUCUGGAUCAGGGUGCCAAGUGGGCCAUUUUU